UAGGGAAUCUUUGGCAAUGGACGAAAGUCUGACCGAGCAACGCCGCGUGAGUGAAGAAGGUUUUCGGAUCGUAAAACUCUGUUGUUAGAGAAGAACAAGGACGUUAGUAACUGAACGUCCCCUGACGGUAUCUAACCAGAAAGCCACGGCUAACUACGUGCCAGCAGCCGCGGUAAUACGUAGGUGGCAAGCGUUGUCCGGAUUUAUUGGGCGUAAAGCGAGCGCAGGCGGUUUCUUAAGUCUGAUGUGAAAGCCCCCGGCUCAACCGGGGAGGGUCAUUGGAAACUGGGAGACUUGAGUGCAGAAGAGGAGAGUGGAAUUCCAUGUGUAGCGGUGAAAUGCGUAGAUAUAUGGAGGAACACCAGUGGCGAAGGCGGCUCUCUGGUCUGUAACUGACGCUGAGGCUCGAAAGCGUGGGGAGCAAACAGG
RNAcentral lists this ribosomal RNA (429 nucleotides) under Gemmatimonadota bacterium. Its description in RNAcentral is "Gemmatimonadetes bacterium partial 16S ribosomal RNA". It matches the Rfam family "Bacterial small subunit ribosomal RNA", at positions 355 to 776 of the family's 1533-position model. The record is from RNAcentral. Lineage: Bacteria; Pseudomonadati; Gemmatimonadota.